UACGGGGGGGGCAAGCGUUGUUCGGAAUUACUGGGCGUAAAGGGCUCGUAGGUGGCCAAUUAAGUCAGAUGUGAAAUCCCUCGGCUUAACCGGGGAACUGCGUCUGAUACUGGAUGGCUUGAGUUUGGGAGAGGGACGCGGAAUUCCAGGUGUAGCGGUGAAAUGCGUAGAUAUCUGGAGGAACACCGGUGGCGAAGGCGGCGUCCUGGACCAACACUGACACUGAGGAGCGAAAGCCAGGGGAGCAAACGGG
Molecule: ribosomal RNA, 253 nt
Filed under: uncultured bacterium
Lineage: Bacteria
Description: partial 16S ribosomal RNA
Rfam family: Bacterial small subunit ribosomal RNA
Source: RNAcentral